UCAUGGUGGAAGAGAAGCUGUCAUUAACCGGUCCUGAGUUAUCAAAAUCCCCAAAUCAAUCUCCCUGACUCCUCUUCCUUCAACACAUUAGUGUUUACCCACUCCCUGAACCCAGGCACUGACACAACAGUCCUGAAGAAUGGAGAUCAGUCGCUGACCUCACACGCUUUCUAGAUUGUGUAAGUUGAUGAUGUGACCUCUCUGUGAUAUGGUUAAGAAGAAAGUUUUAUUGCGAAACUGGUUCCCAUCU
Molecule: long non-coding RNA, 250 nt
Organism: Mus spicilegus (steppe mouse)
Lineage: Eukaryota; Metazoa; Chordata; Mammalia; Rodentia; Muridae
Source: Ensembl